Long non-coding RNA from Anolis carolinensis (green anole), 4028 nucleotides. NCBI's taxonomy places the organism in Eukaryota, Metazoa, Chordata, Lepidosauria, Squamata, Anolidae. The record is from Ensembl.
AUGGCUAAUUUCUAUAGCUCUUUUCAGUUGUUUCGUGUCAACUCUGUCCCUUGUCCCUAUGCAGACUUGCGACCUCAUUUCCCCUCUGCAGCUGCUGAUAGCAUUGGAGCACAAACACAACAGAUUAGUUGUGAUAUGGGCAGCCAGAUGCAAAUUCUUUUACAUGUGAGGUUGAGCUGUGCAUAUGCUUCUCUGCUAUUUCAGGCUUUCUCUGAAUCAGCACUGGUAUAUCAUGAUCCACCUACACAAGUUUUCUGAUCUAUUAUAUAAAGGAAAAUAGGAAGAUAGACGCUUUUGAACUCUGGUGCUGGAGGAAAAUCCUGAGAGUGCCUUGGACCGCAAGAAGAUCUAACCAGUCCAUCCUCCAGGAAAUAAUACCCGGCUGCUCACUGGAGGGAAGGAUAUUAGAGGCAAAGCUGAAUUAUUUUGGCCACAUCAUAAGGCGACAGGAAAGCUUUGAAAAGAUCACGAUGCUGGGGAAAAUGGAAGGAAAAAGGAAGAGAGGCCGAUCAAGGGCAAGAUGGAUGGACGGUAUCCUUGAAGUGACUGGCUUGACCUUGAAGGAACUGGGGGCGGUGAUGGCCGACAGGGAGCUCUGGCAUGGAUUGGUCCAUGAGGUCACGAAGAGUCGGAGACGACUAAAUGACUGAGCAGCAGCAAUUGGCUAUGUGGGCAAGUAAUUAUGCCAGCAAUUCCUAAACUUUGGUCAUCCAGGUAUUUUUGACUUCCACUUCCAGAAUUUCUGUGUAUUAACCACAGAAAUUCUGGGAGAGGACCAACAUUUUGGAAGCACUGAAUUUUGCAAUUUUCAUAUUUAUGCUAAAUGUGGAAACUUCUAGGUUGUAAUCCCUGUAAAAAAAUUAGUAUAGAUGAUGCAUGUUCACAACAAAGAAUGAGAAUAAUCUUUACUUUCAUUUUUAUGAUAAAAUCUGUAUAAACAUGUUCUGUCUAAAUAUAGUUAUUUAUGGUAUAAUGUUAGGUAGACUUCCAUUGUAGUUUGUAGUUUGGUGAGGCAUCAACACAAUCUGGCAGAGAAGGCUAGAAACUUUGUAAAAUUGCAAUGCCCAUGAUUCCAUAGCAUUUAUCCAUGACAAUUAACAAUCUACCUUGUACUGGAAAUACGAUUGAUAUAUGUUAAGCACAGACAUCCUAGCAUGGUAUGGUAGUAGUUGCUGAUGUUAUGCUAUUACGUAAUUGGGCAAAUAGGCUUUACUUAGUAAGGUUAAGAAUGCAUGCCAUGUCUUUUGUCUAGGACCUUAUCACAUUAACAUAUGGAUUCACCAUGCAUUGUGACAAAUCCAUGGGAUCCCGGCAGGGAGCAUGGACAACCCGUCACCCCACAUCGCCCAACUUACCUUAGGCCCAUCCCAUGGGGGGAAGCAUUUGCAGCCCGGCUUCCCCCCCCCCAUUGUUGCAAAUGCAACAUGGGAAGUCUCCCAUGUCACCACAGCAGUGGCAUACACCCCUUCCUCUCCCUUUUUGCCAUGAUGUCCUGUCAGAAGUAGAUGUACGUGGUGUAAUGGGUUCCAUGGCAAAAAGGGGAGAGGAACCGGCAUAUGAUGGGUAAAUUAGCUUGUAUGAUGAGGUUGUAAGUUUUCAGAGAUGUUAGAGUGGUCUAUCAGAGUCUCUUGGUUUUAUUAUAUUUCUGCCCUACUUCUGACCAUUUCAGAUAACGGGCAUGGAAGAAUGUUAAUUUAUCCCAAACUUUAAACAAUUUAAAUGCUUAAAGUGUAAUUAGUUAUCAUUAUUGUUUUAAGACAAAUAAACUGAUUACAUUCCACCAGAACAACGUAGAAACUCAGUCUGACUCUUAAAGGAAUAACUUUUGUUGUUGCCCACCCAUUGUUCUUACAAUCUGGCCAAAAAAAUAGCUUAAGUAAUCCUUACUCCAGGAAAGGCCAUCAGCCAAAUACCAGCUAGAAUGUGAUAAAAAAUUGUGAUAUUAAGAAUUCAGGUCUGAAUUGUGUGUGAGAGAGUCUGUGUUUACCUGUAUGAAAUACUUCAAAAGACUCCUUUGUUAAAAGAGAGCAAACACUUAGAAUAGCCUGUUCUGUCACUGAAUGAUGUUGCUUUGGAUGCAGAAAAAAAUGUCAACAUGUAACAGUACAUUUGCAUCCUUUAAUAGUACAGUUUAGAAUUGGGCCAUUUCAUUCUGAGCAAGUUUUGAAACCAUCCAUGCUCAGAUGAAUAGCUGUUUCAACCCACUUCCACUUUCAAGACUGUGGCUGUUUUGUUUCUUUAUUGGUACCGGAGACAUGCAUUUAACACCAUUUUACUGAAGUGUUAAAUGAAGCACAACUUGUAAGGAGGAGCCAGCACAAUAAGUUUAUUUUUCAUGCUGCUGUGAGUGCUUUAUGAAAAUUUAAACAGGCAGUGUCAGAGGGUUGUAAUUUUUUUUAACUUUCUUUAUUUACAGCUCCCAAGAUGAUUUUGUUUAAAAGAUAUGUAGACAUAGCAAAUCACUGCCAGCACCUCAUAAUCUCAGCAAGCUGUAAAACAACGUUUUAAAAUUCAUGGAAGCCCAUUGACUAGACCUUGUUUUGCUUUAUAACAGAUGUGCACAUAGACUCAAAUAACAAACAAUCAUCACUUCUACAUUAAAUACCAUCAGAAUGUAUUCGUGAGAUUACCAAAAGCUCUGAGAUAAAAUCAAAGUCUAUACAUGAUGUCCACAAAUUAACAAAUUAUUUUCACAAAAUGAUGCAGUUUGGGCAACAUAGUCUCUUGAAUAAAAAGACCUCAAGAUUUGAGUCUCACUAAUCCAAGCCUCGCUUAUCCAAGCCUCUGGAUAAUCCAAGCCAUUUUUGUAGUCAAUGUUUUCAAUAUAUCAUGAUAUUUUGGUGCUAAAUUCGUUAAUACAGUACAUAGCAUUACUACAUAUUGAACUAUUUUUUUCUGUCAAAUUUGUUGUAUAACAUGAAGUUUUGGUGCUUAAUUUGUAAAAUCAUAACCUAAUUUGAUGUUUAAUAGGCUUUUCCUUAAUCCCUCCUUAUUAUCCAAGAUAUUCGCUUAUCCAAGCUUCUGCCAGCCCGUUUAGCUUGGAUAAGUGAGACUCUACUGUACUAACAAAACUUGAUUUACUGGAGACUUCUGAAACCCCUCCCAAGGCAAGAAGUUCCACAUAUGAGAUCAUUCUUGCUUAUCCAGAGCAUCUGUCAUAUGAGCUAGAACCUCUCCAAAGAUGUACAAAAACAAGGAUUCCAACAGGUAUCUGCAGGACAUAGACAAACGGUUAAAGUCCAUGUUGAUAAAAAUGUUGCUUCAAACAUGGGGUGAGAAUGUAGGAAUUUGGUAUAGAUCUUGACACCUCCUUGUGAUGAAUGGUGGGGUUCUGGAAUGACCACUCUGGAUUCAGGGACCUGUCAGGUUGUGAAGAAAUUUGCCCUUGGAGCUAAACUUGGAGGGUUUCUCUCUCUUAUGGAAGAAAGUGUUCCUUUUUGACUGUCCAAUGUUUUUUUUUUUCCGUGUCAAGAGCAACUGGAGUUGCUUCUGGAGUGAGAGAAAUGGCUGUCUCCAAGGACGUUGCCCAGGGGACGCCAGGAUGUUUUGAUGUUUUUACCAUCCUUGUGGGAGGCUUUUCUCAUGUCCCCGCAUGGAGCUGGAGCUGAUAGAGGGAGCUCAUCCGUGCUCAUCCGUGGGAUUCGAACCUGGCAGCCUUCAGGUCAGCAAUCCAACCUUCAAGUCACAAGGCUUUUAUCCCCUAGGCCAUCGGAGGCUCCUUUCCAAUAAAUGACUGGCUGGAAUAAGCAACCCAUAGCUUUGGAUUGACAUUGGGGUUAAGAGUUCCACCCAAUUGAUAGUCCAAAGAAGUGGUUACAAGUUGGCAAGUGGUGUCAAAUAUACUUGCAUCAGGUUGCUUCCCAUGUUGCUCACCCCCAGGGACAUCUCAGUUAAAUAAAUUACAGGUUAAAUAAAAUGUCUCUGUUUAACCCAAUUGUCUGUGUCUGGUCUCAUUAUUCAGGCUUGAUCAUAAAUGUAAUAUGCAUUUAGCCAUGCUGCUUCUCAGUAGCCAAACAGCAGCAUUCAGA